GAUGAACGCUAGCUAUAGGCUUAACACAUGCAAGUCGAGGGGAAACGGCAUUAUGUGCUUGCACAUUUUGGACGUCGACCGGCGCAUGGGUGAGUAUCGCGUAUCCAACCUGCCCUUUACUUGGGGAUACCCCGUUGAAAGACGGCCUAAUACCCGAUGUAAUUCAUUGAUGGCAUCAGAUAUGAAUAAAAGAUUUAUCGGUAAAGGAUGGGGAUGCGUCUGAUUAGCUUGAUGGUGAGGUAACGGCUCACCAAGGCGACGAUCAGUAGGGGUUCUGAGAGGAAGGUCCCCCACAUUGGAACUGAGACACGGUCCAAACUCCUACGGGAGGCAGCAGUGAGGAAUAUUGGUCAAUGGGCGCAAGCCUGAACCAGCCAAGUAGCGUGCAGGAAGACGGCCCUAUGGGUUGUAAACUGCUUUUAUACGAGAAUAAUUUGAUGCACGUGUGCGUUAUUGCAUGUAUCGUAUGAAUAAGGACCGGCUAAUUCCGUG
RNAcentral lists this ribosomal RNA (492 nucleotides) under uncultured bacterium. RNAcentral describes it as "partial 16S ribosomal RNA". It matches the Rfam family "Bacterial small subunit ribosomal RNA", at positions 28 to 507 of the family's 1533-position model. The record is from RNAcentral.